RNAcentral lists this ribosomal RNA (926 nucleotides) under uncultured bacterium. Its description in RNAcentral is "bacterial SSU rRNA". It matches the Rfam family "Bacterial small subunit ribosomal RNA", at positions 55 to 976 of the family's 1533-position model. The record is from RNAcentral.
AUGCAAGUCGUGCGAGAAAGUAUCUUCGGAUAUGAGUAGAGCGGCGAACGGGUGAGUAACGCGUAGGAAUGUACCUAGUAGAAGGGGAUAGCCCGAGGAAACUCGGAUUAAUACCGUAUACCUCCUUCGGGAGAAAGAAGGCCUCUCUUUGAAGCUUUCGCUACUAGAUCAGCCUGCGUAAGAUUAGCUUGUUGGUGAGGUAAUGGCUCACCAAGGCUACGAUCUUUAGCUGGUCUGAGAGGACGAUCAGCCACAUUGGGACUGAGACACGGCCCAGACUCCUACGGGAGGCAGCAGUGGGGAAUAUUGGACAAUGGGCGCAAGCCUGAUCCAGCCAUACCGCGUGUGUGAAGAAGGCCUUCGGGUUGUAAAGCACUUUAAGCAGGGAGAAAAAAAUAUAGGUUAAUACCCUAUGUUCUUGAUGUUACCUGCAGAAUAAGCACCGGCUAAUUCCGUGCCAGCAGCCGCGGUAAUACGGAAGGUGCAAGCGUUAAUCGGAAUUACUGGGCGUAAAGCGCGCGUAGGUGGUUUGUUAAGUUGGAUGUGAAAGCCCUGGGCUCAACCUAGGAACUGCAUCCAAAACUGACUGACUAGAGUACGAUAGAGGGAGGUAGAAUUCAUAGUGUAGCGGUGGAAUGCGUAGAUAUUAUGAAGAAUACCAGUGGCGAAGGCGGCCUCCUGGAUCUGUACUGACACUGAGGUGCGAAAGCGUGGGUAGCGAACAGGAUUAGAUACCCUGGUAGUCCACGCCGUAAACGAUGACAACUAGCUGUUGGGAGGCAAUGCCUUUCAGUGGCGCAGCUAACGUUUUAAGUUGUCCGCCUGGGGAGUACGGCCGCAAGGCUAAAACUCAAAUGAAUUGACGGGGACCCGCACAAGCGGUGGAGCAUGUGGUUUAAUUCGAUGCAACGCGAAAAACCUUACCU